This is a long non-coding RNA of Varroa destructor (honeybee mite), 966 nucleotides long. The record is from RefSeq and is a predicted model, not a curated record. NCBI's taxonomy places the organism in Eukaryota, Metazoa, Arthropoda, Arachnida, Mesostigmata, Varroidae.
GUACGCUCGACUAGGUAUCAGUCAUGGCAUGUAUAAAGCAAGAGUACCAGUAUUGUCAGUAGCACUCUUGACCCGUUCGAGGAUCGCUUGGUCGUCAUCAGGAUCAUAACCGUUGUCGUGUCACCAUCUUGUUACCCAUGUCAGCUGUAAGCAGACAGACUGCGCAAGACGAACGGAGGGAUGUAGCAAUGAUGCCCGUACCCCUCAAUGAAUGGAAGAAUGCGGCAGCGGGUGACAAUGCGUUUACCAGUACUCAGCUCGUACAAAUUCAACAUCAGCCAGACGACAGCUGAAAUUCAUUCAUUCAUUCAUACGGGAGUGAAGUCCAACAGUCUUCAUGCGGACAACAACAAUGAUGACGGUCAUGAUGGCAGUGGAGGUGGUGAAGCCACCGUUGUUUACGCAGCAAUAACUGAAGCACUACGUAGUAAAUAACUGUUGCGAGUUAGUGUAAAUAAAGUUCGUAGCAGCAAAUUACUCGACUACCUCACUUGAAUCUUAUCGUAACGAUUACAAUAUCGUAACAAUAAACUACUACAAACUAAUUACAAAUACUUUCAGGCUGCUAGCUGCCGAACCAAUGGCUUAUAACAAUUAAAUUUUUGGCAGAUAGACAAACUACAAUAGCAGCAGCAGCAGCAGCAGCAGCAGUGACAGAGCUGCCAUGAUCUGCUUCACAGUCGGGGCGUUGCGGCAUUGACAUCGGCGAACUUGAAGCCGCAGCUGAUGACAUUAUUAGUAUUGGUGUCGUUGUUCAGUCGACGUGGCUGCUGCUAUUGCUGCAGCUUCGUCAAUGGUGGCUGUCGCAUCGAUAAUGUAAGCCAUAGCUACUAACGUCGUGUCGUGAUAUUUUUUGCCACUGCUGCAGUGUGCGUUUCUGCGUUACGCUAUUUCACCAGCUGCUGCUGCUCCUCCUCCUAUAACAGCAGCAGCAGCAGCAGCAGCAAAAGUACGUCCGCUUUUACU